RNAcentral lists this ribosomal RNA (1051 nucleotides) under uncultured bacterium. Its description in RNAcentral is "bacterial SSU rRNA". It matches the Rfam family "Bacterial small subunit ribosomal RNA", at positions 485 to 1533 of the family's 1533-position model. The record is from RNAcentral.
AGAAAGGGACGGCUAACUACGUGCCAGCAGCCGCGGUAAUACGUAGGUCCCGAGCGUUGUCCGGAUUUAUUGGGCGUAAAGCGAGCGCAGGCGGUUUGAUAAGUCUGAAGUUAAAGGCUGUGGCUCAACCAUAGUUCGCUUUGGAAACUGUCAAACUUGAGUGCAGAAGGGGAGAGUGGAAUUCCAUGUGUAGCGGUGAAAUGCGUAGAUAUAUGGAGGAACACCGGUGGCGAAAGCGGCUCUCUGGUCUGUAACUGACGCUGAGGCUCGAAAGUGUGGGGAGCGAGCAGGAUUAGAUACCCUGGUAGUCCACGCCGUAAACGAUGAGUGCUAGGUGUUGGAUCCUUUCCGGGAUUCAGUGCCGCAGCUAACGCAUUAAGCACUCCGCCUGGGGAGUACGACCGCAAGGUUGAAACUCAAAGGAAUUGACGGGGGCCCGCGCAAGCGGUGGAGCAUGUGGUUUAAUUCGAAGCAACGCGAAGAACCUUACCAGGUCUUGACAUCCCGAUGCUAUUUCUAGAGAUAGAAAGUUACUUCGGUACAUCGGUGACAGGUGGUGCAUGGUUGUCGUCAGCUCGUGUCGUGAGAUGUUGGGUUAAGUCCCGCAACGAGCGCAACCCCUAUUGUUAGUUGCCAUCAUUCAGUUGGGCACUCUAGCGAGACUGCCGGUAAUAAACCGGAGGAAGGUGGGGAUGACGUCAAAUCAUCAUGCCACUUAUGACCUGGGCUACACACGUGCUACAAUGGACGGUACAACGAGUCGCGAAACCGCGAGGUCAAGCUAAUCUCUUAAAGCCGUUCUCAGUUCGGAUUGUAGGCUGCAACUCGCCUACAUGAAGUUGGAAUCGCUAGUAAUCGUGGAUCAGCAUGCCACGGUGAAUACGUUCCCGGGCCUUGUACACACCGCCCGUCACACCAUGAGAGUUUGUAACACCCAAAGCCGGUGAGGUAACCUUCGGGGGCCAGCCGUCUAAGGUGGGACAGAUGAUUAGGGUGAAGUCGUAACAAGGUAGCCGUAGGAGAACCUGCGGCUGGAUCACCUCCUUUCUAA